GAUCAUGGCUCAGGAUGAACGCUAGCUACAGGCUUAACACAUGCAAGUCGAGGGGAAACGACAUCGAAAGCUUGCUUUUGAUGGGCGUCGACCGGCGCACGGGUGAGUAACGCGUAUCCAACCUGCCCACCACUUGGGGAUAACCUUGCGAAAGUAAGACUAAUACCCAAUGAUAUCCCACGAAGGCAUCCGAAUGGGAUUAAAGAUUUAUCGGUGAUGGAUGGGGAUGCGUCUGAUUAGCUUGUUGGCGGGGUAACGGCCCACCAAGGCGACGAUCAGUAGGGGUUCUGAGAGGAAGGUCCCCCACAUUGGAACUGAGACACGGUCCAAACUCCUACGGGAGGCAGCAGUGAGGAAUAUUGGUCAAUGGGCGAGAGCCUGAACCAGCCAAGUAGCGUGCAGGAUGACGGCCCUAUGGGUUGUAAACUGCUUUUAUACGGGGAUAAAGUGGGCCACGUGUGGCUUAUUGCAGGUACCGUAUGAAUAAGGACCGGCUAAUUCCGUG
Molecule: ribosomal RNA, 505 nt
Filed under: uncultured bacterium
Lineage: Bacteria
Description: bacterial SSU rRNA
Rfam family: Bacterial small subunit ribosomal RNA
Source: RNAcentral